CCUACGGGUGGCUGCAGUGAGGGAUAUUGGUCAAUGGGCGAAACCCUGAACCAGCCACGCCGCGUGAGGGAAGACGGUUUUCUGAUUGUAAACCUCUGUCCUCUGUGAAGAUACUGACGGUAGCAGAGGAGGAAGCUCCGGAUAACUACGUGCCAGCAGCCGCGGUAAUACGUAGGGAGCAAGCGUUGUUCGGAUUUACUGGGUGUAAAGGGUGCGUAGGCGGCCCUGCAAGUCAAAAGUGAAAUCCAUGGGCUUAACCCGUGAACUGCUUUUGAAACUGGAGGGCUUGAGUGAAGUAGAGGCAGGCGGAAUGCCAGGUGUAGCGGUGAAAUGCGUAGAGAUCGGGAGGAACACCAGUGGCGAAGGCGGCCUGCUGGGCUUUAACUGACGCUGAAGCACGAAAGCGUGGGUAGCAAACAGGAUUAGAUACCCUGGUAGUC
Molecule: ribosomal RNA, 440 nt
Filed under: uncultured bacterium
Lineage: Bacteria
Description: partial 16S ribosomal RNA
Rfam family: Bacterial small subunit ribosomal RNA
Source: RNAcentral